Carassius auratus (goldfish) is the source of this 370-nucleotide long non-coding RNA. RefSeq lists it as uncharacterized. The record is from RefSeq and is a predicted model, not a curated record. NCBI's taxonomy places the organism in Eukaryota, Metazoa, Chordata, Actinopteri, Cypriniformes, Cyprinidae. The transcript is spliced from 3 exons.
GGUGGAUGCCACACACACGCUGUAAUAUUUGGAGAAAUAAGACCCGCUCUUGACUGUCCGUGGUGGCAAAUCCACAGCCUUUCGCUGGAGUAGAAUCAACCGUAUCUGAAGAGAGAGCUGAGGAAAUUAAACAAUGGCUGGGAAACAACACACAGCCCAUCAGCCAGGUGGAACAGUACAUCUAAAAAAUAUGUUUGAGGUCCUCCAUGAGUUUCCUCAGCUAACUAGCUAACUCAGGCAUGGUAUGUUAACAUAAUGUCUUUGUCAUAUGGUAACAUGAGUUAUAUUAAGUCUUUUUUGAGAAGUUUUUUUUUGUAAUUUUUGCUUUUAGAUUGCACAGGACUUUCACAUUUUACAUCAAGAUGAAGCC